RNAcentral lists this ribosomal RNA (260 nucleotides) under uncultured Montagnulaceae. RNAcentral describes it as "partial 18S ribosomal RNA". It matches the Rfam family "Eukaryotic small subunit ribosomal RNA", at positions 1521 to 1778 of the family's 1831-position model. The record is from RNAcentral. Lineage: Eukaryota; Fungi; Ascomycota; Dothideomycetes; Pleosporales; Didymosphaeriaceae.
UCUUUUCCUUGGCCGAAAGGCCUGGGNAAUCUUGUUAAACUCUGUCGUGCUGGGGAUAGAGCANNNNNANNAUNGCUCUUCAACGAGGAAUGCCUAGUAAGCGCGUGUCAUCAGCACGCGUUGAUUACGUCCCUGCCCUUUGUACACACCGCCCGUCGCUACUACCGAUUGAAUGGCUCAGUGAGGCCUUCGGACUGGCCCGGGGAGGUUGGCAACNACCACCCCGGGCCGGAAAGUUCGUCAAACUCGGUCAUUUAGAG